This 573-nucleotide ribosomal RNA is filed under the name Triticum aestivum (bread wheat). RNAcentral describes it as "partial small subunit ribosomal RNA". The record is from RNAcentral. Lineage: Eukaryota; Viridiplantae; Streptophyta; Magnoliopsida; Poales; Poaceae.
AUGGCCUCUCCGAGCUCUGGCUACGUCGAUGCCUCAAGCCGCCUUCGUCCCCGCGCCGCGAGACCUCCCCAUCGCCAGCAUCCCUGCCUGCCGCACCUGAGUUCUUCCACGUCCACUGCAUCCCUCACUCGCGCCCGACCGGUCCUCUGCAUCGCCAGCUACCGACGCCGUAAAGUUUGGGCCGUCCCCGACCUUGCGGCCCUGGCCUCCUGCCCCGCGCCCAGAGCUCCAUCCUCUUCGUCGCCUCCCCGCCAUGGCACCCUGCAGCAGGGCACCACGGCGACCCUCACCUGCACCCGUGCUUCGCUGACCGGAGGCGUCGUCCUCGACCGUCGCCAGCACUGCUGCCCCGCCUGCGUCCUCGACCUCCUCCUUCCACGCGCUGUCAAGUUUCGGGAGCUGCUGCUGUUUUUCUUUUGCUGCUGCAUCUCCGUCCGUCUGCAGGCGACCGCGUCCGAUGUCUGCGAUGCCUGUUGCUGUCACUGGAUGCCAAGACCACCGCGACACCUGAACUUCGUGUCAUUGUUCGCUGCCCGCCUCCCGUCGUUUUCGCCAAGUACCACAAGUUCCUGA